This 207-nucleotide long non-coding RNA is filed under the name Eucalyptus grandis. Its description in RNAcentral is "long non-coding RNA (EGRA_LNC006084)". The record is from RNAcentral. Lineage: Eukaryota; Viridiplantae; Streptophyta; Magnoliopsida; Myrtales; Myrtaceae.
UUCGUGCAGCGAGGGAGAUCGGCUGAGGCGCGACGACGGUGGCGCGAGCGGGAGAAAUGCCGGCGGAAGCGUUGACCCUGCUGCUGCUGCGCCGGCGAGAAUCAGGGAAAGCGUGGUGGGGAAGAUGAACAGGAACAGGAGCACCCUUUUUUCUUCUUAUUUUUCCUGUUUUUUCUUGUUGAUCGACGUCCCUCACGUCAAUCUCCC